GGUUGAUCCUGCCAGUAGUCAUAUGCUUGUCCUAAAGAUUAAGCCAUGCAUGUCCAAGUAUAUACCUUUAUACGGUGAAACUGCGAAUGGCUCAUUAUAUCAGUUAUAAUUUACAUGAUGGAUUAUUUACUACUUGGAUAACCGUGGUAAUUCUAGAGCUAAUACAUGCGAAAAGCCCGACUGCAAGGAAGGGCGGUAUUUAUUAGAUAAAAACCGAAUGCGACAUUGUCUGUCGCAAGCUGGCGAGUCAUGAUAACUGAGCGGAUCGUAUGGCCUCGGGCCGACGACGCAU
Molecule: ribosomal RNA, 292 nt
Filed under: uncultured eukaryote
Lineage: Eukaryota
Description: partial 18S ribosomal RNA
Rfam family: Eukaryotic small subunit ribosomal RNA
Source: RNAcentral